Peromyscus maniculatus bairdii (prairie deer mouse) is the source of this 633-nucleotide non-coding RNA. The record is from RefSeq and is a predicted model, not a curated record. Lineage: Eukaryota; Metazoa; Chordata; Mammalia; Rodentia; Cricetidae.
CAGAAUCCACACAUCUCUACAGCAUCACAGAAAAUAAACAUAACAGGGAGGGUGGGGUGUAAGGAGGUCAGAGGACAUAUUACUAGAGUUGACUUUCUUCUUCAUCCUUGAGUGGUCCAGGGAUCAAGCUCAGGUCUCAGGUUUGGUGAUGGGACAGCUCCAACAGACUUCUGCUGCUGUGAGUUCUCUUCCUCGAUGAACUGUAACCUCGAACUGCGAGCUAAACCAACCCUUUCUACCUUCUGUUGCCUUGGUCAGGACUUCUAGCACAGCAAGAGAAGAAGCUGAGAUACUAGCCCUUCUCUCGGAAUUCGAUGCUACCUGAUCUCUCAACAAAGAGCUUCUAUUACACAGGGAAUGUUAGCCUGUUUGAAAUUGUUUUCUCACCUGAUCAUCAAACACACCAUCUGGCAUCUUGGCAGUAGACUCUGAGUCAGGAAGAAGUCUCAGAAUCUAGGAGAAGGUGGAACAGGAUUCAGAAAUAAACAAACAAACAAACAACAACAACAACAACAACAACGUAAAGACUGAUGAGCAAAAGAAUUCAGGCAAGAAGGAGCACUUCAGGAGAAGCAGAGAUGUGGGAAAGCCAGGGGAUGAGGUGUCACAUUUUUGUAUAAGCAUAGGUCAUGA